CAAAUUCCAUUGUGACCUAUUGUGUUAUAUAUCUGGAUAUGGAAAUUGAGCUACAAAGCUGAGCACAGAACUAUGACUAUUCAAACACGUUGAAGAUACAACAGAGAAUGAAUAGCAAUGAAAGACAGUCUUGACUUGCUGCCAAGGAGAAAGAGAAGAGAUGAUGAACGGCCGAUUUGAGACAACUACCACUCAAAGGAUUUAUAAGAAGGAAAUGUUCUACAUUACUCAAGAAGAACAGAACAUGAGUUCAUUACACCCAUUGCAUCUUUUAGAUAGGGCUAAACUCUCAGAUUUUGAAUGCUGUCUUUGAUAAGCAUAGCUAGCUGUACUGUUGUCAUAGCUCAAGACUCAAGUACUGAUUUAUGCCUUGACCCUAAGUAACAUUCUGAAAAUGCUACUAAAUUUGAGAUCCUGAUUUGGAAGUCAAGAAUUGUAUGAUGUAACAUAAUUUUGAAGUCUAAAUACCAGUUAUUCUUGAAAACAAAACAAAACAAAAACACAGCUCCAAAGGCUGGCAAUUAAUCGUCAACAUCAACAUGUGUUUAUUAAGCCCUGCUUUGAGAGCUAUAAAAUAUAUAUUAGAACGUCUCUAUUUUAAGAAGCUCACAAACUUUCUGUAAUAAAGGUAAAGUUUAUUCUCUUCACGAACAGGGCUCCUUGCUAGUAUAUAUGCAUUGUUUAAAGCACAUUCUUCUAGGUUAUUUCAUUCUAUGGGGACUCUGAGUCUUUCAUUGCCUUUGAACUAUUUUACAACACUGUAAAUUGUAGAUAACCGAUAGCAGUACAAAAGAAUUCUCCUCUAUAGAUAUGCAAAUAAAUUCUGUCCAGCGGAAGUUCAAAG
Molecule: long non-coding RNA, 844 nt
Filed under: Equus asinus (donkey)
Lineage: Eukaryota; Metazoa; Chordata; Mammalia; Perissodactyla; Equidae
Description: lncRNA (ENSEASG00005023662.1)
Source: RNAcentral